CAGGUCCCCUGAAAUAACAGUGAGAUUCCUGAAUGAAGUCACCAUAAAGGAAAAAUCAGCUUUUAUUAUAUCCUCCAUCCUGUUUAUAGGCUCAGACUCACCUUGUCCCUGAGUCAAAUUCACCAGGUAAUUUGACUUACAGGUCAAUAUAAGCUCAACAAUGAAUUCUGGGCCCCCGGGGGACUCUCUUGGAGGAUGACCCGGCCACCCGGUGAGAGGUCUUUUACUGCGCCAGUGCGGUGAUGUCAAACAGCGGCUUUAUCUCAGUGAAAACACUGGUAACACCGGGAUGUGUCUGCCAGAUAAGAAGGCACAGCAGUAACAUGCCAGUUUAUUCAACAGCGUUUAAGCUGAAGCACGGUGUGCUCAAAGGGUGAGACUAUCGCGCCAUCUAGCGCCCGUUGAGGGUAUGAACUUCUCAUGAUCUCUCAUGAUAAUGCGACUUUGACUUCUCGAACUGCUUCAUAUAAAGAAUUCUUACAGACCUGAAGUGAUAAAAUUGUUCAUCAGAAGAAAACAUUAUAUUCCAUUUUUCAUUGUAAAUAUAUUAUGUUCCCUCUGUGAACCCUCAGAGCGGUUCUUCUUAGUAUUUUGCUAUGAAAAUACGAAACAGAUGCAGUGAUUUAUUGAAAUGUACACAUACAUGAAUGGAAAUACAGAAAUGGAGUUUGUGCAUCAUAAGGAGCUUGAACAUCAAUAUUUGGUAUGAUCACCUUUAUUCUUAGACUUCCUGAGGUCUCAUAGGCCAGUUUUUAAAAACAUUUCUUUAAGCAUCUUCAGGAAUAGUUCUCCAGGCUUCUUCAUGGACAUUCAAAGCUUUACUUUGGAUGUUGGCUGCCUUUUCUCACAUUCUGUGUCAAGAUGAUUCCACACUGCUUUGGUAAUGUUGCAGCUCAGGGAUCAGUGACAUGCUGAAAACUGAAGCCAUUGCCAGUCAGAUGGUAUUGCAUGGUGGAUCCAAACCCAAUGCUACUUUGUAUUUCUGCAUUUGUAAUUUCAUAUAUUUUGACAAGAUUUCAACACCACUGGUGGAAAUGCAGCCCUAAACCAUGACUCAGCCUCCACCAUGUUUUACAGAUGGCUGCAGACACUCACAGUUGCACCUCUCUCCUGAACUCCUCUGUACCUAUUGUCACAGAUUUUCACCCCAGCUUUUUCUCCCUGUUUCCUUUGUUGGAUUGUUUCUUAAUUCCUAAGGAUGCAGUUUUCAGGUCCUAUUAAUCUGCUGUAGAUAGUUUUUUAGGUCUGCCACUCUUUUUGUCCUCCACAUGUCCAUGUCAUCAUUGACAUCAGCUUGUAAUAAAAGCAGAAAAUCACUUUGGUAUUAAAGUGAUCAGUGUAUUCUCUGUAAACCUUUGGCUCACAAUCAGUAUUUUUAAUAUAUUUACAUUAUUAAUUAAAAAUUUGGCCAUGUUUAAAGCAUCCAGCUCAGUGUUUGCAGGCCAGUGUUGCCCUUAAAUAAAUGGUUCUCAAACUGCAGAGCAGGACUCAAAGCAGAGGCACGGCUGGUGGGGCAUGGAUCAUCUUCUUACAGCAUCUCCUUUUAGAGGUUACACAGCUGAUCACCUGUCACUUUAACCCCAGCAACCUCUUCUGUCGCAGAAACCAUCUGCAUGUUCUCAUUUACCCUCGACAUCGGGGUCCCCAACCUUUUUUGCACCUUGGACUGGUUCAUUUCCAACAACAAAAUAAAACCAGUACCAAAGAAGAUUUAUUCAUAACACAAGGGAAAAGACCCAGGGAAACAGAGUUAAUGCUAAAAACCGAUAAAAACCCUGAAAACCAUAAAUUUCACACCGUAGCCUCAACUCUUGCGUACCGUUACCGGUGUGUGGCCCGGGAGUUGGGGACCGCUGGUCUACAUCAUCCCCCCCCGGUAAAUUUACUAUCCACCUCGCCUCUAACUUUGUCACCAACCUGCUCAAUCAGAGCCGUCCCCUCUGAUAUACUUAAUCUUGCCCAUUUUGGUCACGAAUGCCGAAAAUCUGAACAUCUUCAACUCAGCCACCUCCGUCUUCAAUUGCUCCACCGUCCCCCUCCACCCUGCCUGGACUCUCUUCAUUGUCCAUUGCUUCCGAUAGCUGACCUCGAGUAUUUAAACUCAUCCACUUUCACUGGCUCUGCUCCUUACAGCUUCACUGUUACACCUCCCUCCAUUCCAUUCUUACUUUUACUUUACUAAAACUCAUUUUGCAUCUUUUUGUACUUUCAAUAAAUUCUUAGUAAGAAACCAAAAACAAACUUUCUUUCUCCUUCCACCAAAAUCACUUGAUUAAUAAAAACAGUCAGCAUGGAACAUUUGGGAAAAGCAUAUUUUUGAUUAAUACAUUGUGAAUCGUUUAUUCUUACACUGAGGUCAGCAAGUGAGGAUUCCCUGUUCAUAUGAGGUCAUAAGAAACCCUGUUGUGUUUUUCAUGCUGCACAAAUAUCAACACAAGUCAAUCAGUUGCCUCAUCAAUCUUUCAACCCGUUUUCUUGCUAACAUGAUAUUAUAGAAAACAGACAUCCAGGAAGAUCCCAAUGAUUUUUUUUUAAUAUAGUUGGCAAUCAAAGAUGAUUUUCAUUUGAAUCAUUAUUUACACAUAAGUAUGUACAGUGGUCAAAGAGGAGCAGGAGGCUGUAGUCUCGCUGUGCGCAUGUGCACCACAGAGGAGGACAAGGGUGGAGGAGGGUGGGGGUAGAAGUAGCUAGAGUUCAUCCUUUCAAACAAAUGUAUGAAUAAAUCUAACAGCGGCUUAUUUCAUUCAUCCAUUCGACAUCACCGGUAUGUGUGCAUAGCUCGGACAUGGAUUUGGCACGCACACACACACGCGCACACACACAAUAAAUAUACACACCCAGUAUAUAAACAAUGCACUGACAGACAAUGUGCACUGGCUGAUCCUCGUGUAAAAGUCUCAUCUGAUCACGUCCAUGGACA
Long non-coding RNA from Oreochromis niloticus (Nile tilapia), 2920 nucleotides. RefSeq lists it as uncharacterized. The record is from RefSeq and is a predicted model, not a curated record. The transcript has 2 exons. Lineage: Eukaryota; Metazoa; Chordata; Actinopteri; Cichliformes; Cichlidae.